RNAcentral lists this ribosomal RNA (254 nucleotides) under uncultured bacterium. RNAcentral's name for it is "partial 16S ribosomal RNA". It matches the Rfam family "Bacterial small subunit ribosomal RNA", at positions 524 to 776 of the family's 1533-position model. The record is from RNAcentral.
UACGGGGGGAGCAAGCGUUGUUCGGAUUUACUGGGCGUAAAGGGCGCGUAGGCGGCCACCGCAAGUCAGUUGUGAAAUCUCUGGGCUUAACCCAGAAAGGUCAACUGAUACUGCGGGGCUAGAGUGCAGAAGGGGCAACUGGAAUUCUCGGUGUAGCGGUGAAAUGCGUAGAUAUCGAGAGGAACACCUGCGGCGAGGGCGGGUUGCUGGGCUGACACUGACGCUGAAGCGCGAAAGCUAGGGGAGCGAACGGG